UAGCUCAGUCAGUUGAGCGUGGCGCUAACAACGCCAAGGUCGCUGGUUCAAUUCCUGU
RNAcentral lists this transfer RNA (58 nucleotides) under Apaloderma vittatum (bar-tailed trogon). It matches the Rfam family "tRNA", at positions 8 to 63 of the family's 71-position model. Rfam says of the family: Transfer RNA (tRNA) molecules are approximately 80 nucleotides in length. Their secondary structure includes four short double-helical elements and three loops (D, anti-codon, and T loops). Lineage: Eukaryota; Metazoa; Chordata; Aves; Trogoniformes; Trogonidae. The record is from Rfam by way of RNAcentral.